Molecule: ribosomal RNA, 253 nt
Filed under: uncultured bacterium
Lineage: Bacteria
Description: partial 16S ribosomal RNA
Rfam family: Bacterial small subunit ribosomal RNA
Source: RNAcentral
UACGUAGGGUGCAAGCGUUGUCCGGAAUUAUUGGGCGUAAAGAGCUCGUAGGCGGUUUGUCGCGUCUGCUGUGAAAUCCUGAGGCUCAACCUCGGGCUUGCAGUGGGUACGGGCAGACUAGAGUGCGGUAGGGGAGAUUGGAAUUCCUGGUGUAGCGGUGGAAUGCGCAGAUAUCAGGAGGAACACCGAUGGCGAAGGCAGAUCUCUGGGCCGUAACUGACGCUGAGGAGCGAAAGCAUGGGGAGCGAACAGG